This 767-nucleotide ribosomal RNA is filed under the name Phocaeicola dorei. Its description in RNAcentral is "bacterial SSU rRNA". It matches the Rfam family "Bacterial small subunit ribosomal RNA", at positions 22 to 780 of the family's 1533-position model. Lineage: Bacteria; Pseudomonadati; Bacteroidota; Bacteroidia; Bacteroidales; Bacteroidaceae. The record is from RNAcentral.
GCUCNGAUGACGCUAGCUACAGGCUUAACACAUGCAAGUCGAGGGGCAGCAUGGUCUUAGCUUGCUAAGGCCGAUGGCGACCGGCGCACGGGUGAGUAACACGUAUCCAACCUGCCGUCUACUCUUGGACAGCCUUCUGAAAGGAAGAUUAAUACAAGAUGGCAUCAUGAGUCCGCAUGUUCACAUGAUUAAAGGUAUUCCGGUAGACGAUGGGGAUGCGUUCCAUUAGAUAGUAGGCGGGGUAACGGCCCACCUAGUCUUCGAUGGAUAGGGGUUCUGAGAGGAAGGUCCCCCACAUUGGAACUGAGACACGGUCCAAACUCCUACGGGAGGCAGCAGUGAGGAAUAUUGGUCAAUGGGCGAGAGCCUGAACCAGCCAAGUAGCGUGAAGGAUGACUGCCCUAUGGGUUGUAAACUUCUUUUAUAAAGGAAUAAAGUCGGGUAUGGAUACCCGUUUGCAUGUACUUUAUGAAUAAGGAUCGGCUAACUCCGUGCCAGCAGCCGCGGUAAUACGGAGGAUCCGAGCGUUAUCCGGAUUUAUUGGGUUUAAAGGGAGCGUAGAUGGAUGUUUAAGUCAGUUGUGAAAGUUUGCGGCUCAACCGUAAAAUUGCAGUUGAUACUGGAUAUCUUGAGUGCAGUUGAGGCAGGCGGAAUUCGUGGUGUAGCGGUGAAAUGCUUAGAUAUCACGAAGAACUCCGAUUGCGAAGGCAGCCUGCUAAGCUGCAACUGACAUUGAGGCUCGAAAGUGUGGGUAUCAAACAGGAUUA